Molecule: ribosomal RNA, 18 nt
Filed under: Clonostachys rosea
Lineage: Eukaryota; Fungi; Ascomycota; Sordariomycetes; Hypocreales; Bionectriaceae
Description: partial 28S ribosomal RNA
Source: RNAcentral
UGACCUCAGAUCAGGUAG